ACGGAAGGCAGCAGCUAAGAAUAUUCCGCAAUGGACGAAAGUCUGACGGAGCGACGCCGCGUGGAUGAUGAAGGUCGGAAGAUUGUAAAAUCCUUUUAAGCGUGAAGAAUAAGCGGGACAGGCAAUGGUUUCGUGGUGACGGUAGUGCUUGAAUAAGCAACGGCUAAUUACGUGCCAGCAGCCGCGGUAAUACGUAAGUUGCGAGCGUUGUUCGGAAUUAUUGGGCGUAAAGGGCAUGUAGGCGGAUAUGCAAGCUUGGUGUGAGAGGCGGGAGCUCAACUCCCGGACUGCGUUGAGAACUGCAUAACUAGAGUGACUGAGGGGCAGGCAGAAUUCCAGGUGUAGGGGUGAAAUCUGUAGAUAUCUGGAAGAAUACCAAUGGCGAAGGCAGCCUGCCAGCAGAUGACUGACGCUGAGGUGCGAAGGUGCGGGGAGCAAACAGGAUUAGAUACCCUGGUA
Molecule: ribosomal RNA, 459 nt
Filed under: uncultured Treponema sp.
Lineage: Bacteria; Pseudomonadati; Spirochaetota; Spirochaetia; Treponematales; Treponemataceae
Description: partial 16S ribosomal RNA
Rfam family: Bacterial small subunit ribosomal RNA
Source: RNAcentral